AAAAAUGAAUAUAUCAUUACUUACAAUAAUGGGAACCUUUUAGGCAUUUUUA
This 52-nucleotide transfer RNA is filed under the name Metacrangonyx sp. n. DJ2019. RNAcentral's name for it is "tRNA-Val". Lineage: Eukaryota; Metazoa; Arthropoda; Malacostraca; Amphipoda; Metacrangonyctidae. The record is from RNAcentral.